Molecule: long non-coding RNA, 258 nt
Filed under: Elaeis guineensis (African oil palm)
Lineage: Eukaryota; Viridiplantae; Streptophyta; Magnoliopsida; Arecales; Arecaceae
Description: long non-coding RNA (EGUI_LNC081575)
Source: RNAcentral
CAUAAGACUGACAGUGCUAGUCGGAUAAAGUAUCUAUUCAAAAGAUGUGUCAAUUUGAUAUAUCGUCACAUAACACUUGUUGAGGAGCAUCUGCUACAAUAUGGUGUGGAUAAAAAGUAUACUUGUUGGAUAUGGCAUGAGGAGGGUGAUCCGAAUGAAGUAGUGCGCGAUGAUGAUGAUACUGAAGAUGAUAGUACUGAUGGUGCUGGACCUGUCGAACAUAGUGGUAUUGGAGAAUUGUUAGAUGAUUUACAUCAA